Molecule: transfer RNA, 70 nt
Filed under: Sphaerodactylus townsendi
Lineage: Eukaryota; Metazoa; Chordata; Lepidosauria; Squamata; Sphaerodactylidae
Description: tRNA-Ala
Source: RNAcentral
GGCCAUGGCUCAGUGGCAGAGUAUCCGCUUGGCGUGCAGAAGGCCCCCGGUUCAAUCCCCAACAUGGCCA